CUUAGUGGCGGACGGGUGAGUAACGCGUGGGCAACCUGCCCCGUGCCGGGGGAUACCGCCUGGAAACAGGCGCUAAUACCGCAUAAGCGCAUACAGCCGCAUGGCAGUAUGCGGAAAGCUCCGGCGGCACGGGAUGGGCCUGCGCCCGAUUAGCCAGUUGGCGGGGUAACGGCCCACCAAAGCGACGAUCGGUAGCCGGCCUGAGAGGGCGGACGGCCACAUUGGGACUGAGACACGGCCCAAACUCCUACGGAAGGCAGCAG
RNAcentral lists this ribosomal RNA (263 nucleotides) under uncultured bacterium. Its description in RNAcentral is "partial 16S ribosomal RNA". It matches the Rfam family "Bacterial small subunit ribosomal RNA", at positions 91 to 354 of the family's 1533-position model. The record is from RNAcentral.